Molecule: long non-coding RNA, 279 nt
Organism: Stegastes partitus (bicolor damselfish)
Lineage: Eukaryota; Metazoa; Chordata; Actinopteri; Pomacentridae
Exons: 2
Source: RefSeq, a predicted model, not a curated record
GACAUUCUGGUUGAGGUGCUUCUUGGAGAUGCUCUCUGCGUACUUGUCAAAGUUCCACUCCUCCAGAGUCUCCAUCCCUUCCUGUAAGGACCCAUGCAUCCAGCUUUCCUGUGGACAUAAACAUGAUGAUGGUGACUGAAGACUGUCAACUUGGACUCAUCUGUCUGCAGUUCUAGAUGUCCUUCCUGCAGCUAUUCUUUCCUUUAGUCAAGCAUCACAUUCAAUCACUGAAACACAUUGUUCUGUUCAGGAAUUCAAGUAAAUAAUUUCACAUCUUAA